Molecule: ribosomal RNA, 495 nt
Filed under: uncultured Glomeromycotina
Lineage: Eukaryota; Fungi; Glomeromycota
Description: partial small subunit ribosomal RNA
Rfam family: Eukaryotic small subunit ribosomal RNA
Source: RNAcentral
CCAAUAGCGUAUAUUAAAGUUGUUGCAGUUAAAAAGCUCGUAGUUGAAUUUUAGGCCUGACCGGACGGUCCGUCUCUGGCGAGUACUGUUCUGCUGUCGGGUCUAUCCUUCUGGUGAGCCGGUAUGCCCUUUAUUGGGUGUGUCGGGGAACCAGGACCAUUACCUUGAAAAAAUUAGAGUGUUUAAAGCGGGCUUUUGCUUGAAUAGUUUAGCAUGGAAUAAUAGAAUAGGACGUUGGUUCUAUUUUGUUGGUCUAGGACCACCGUAAUGAUUAAUAGGGAUAGUUGGGGGCAUUAGUAUUCAAUUGUCAGAGGUGAAAUUCUUGGAUUUAUUGAAGACUAACUACUGCGAAAGCAUUUGCCAAGGAUGUUUUCAUUAAUCAAGAACGAAAGUUAGGGGAUCGAAGACGAUCAGAUACCGUCGUAGUCUUAACCAUAAACUAUGCCGACUAGGAAUCGGGCGACGUUAUUUUCAUGACUCGCUCGGCGCCUUAUG